GAACUGUAGCUCAACGGUAGAGCGCUUCCCAAAAGGAAGAGGGUGCAGGUUCGAUUCCUGUCAGUUCUA
RNAcentral lists this transfer RNA (69 nucleotides) under Candidatus Melainabacteria bacterium. Its description in RNAcentral is "tRNA-Phe". It matches the Rfam family "tRNA". From Rfam's summary of the family: Transfer RNA (tRNA) molecules are approximately 80 nucleotides in length. Their secondary structure includes four short double-helical elements and three loops (D, anti-codon, and T loops). Lineage: Bacteria; Bacillati; Candidatus Melainabacteria. The record is from RNAcentral.